GGGAAACCGAGUCUUAACUGGGCGUUAAGUUGCAGGGUAUAGACCCGAAACCCGGUGAUCUAGCCAUGGGCAGGUUGAAGGUUGGGUAACACUAACUGGAGGACCGAACCGACUAAUGUUGAAAAAUUAGCGGAUGACUUGUGGCUGGGGGUGAAAGGCCAAUCAAACCGGGAGAUAGCUGGUUCUCCCCGAAAGCUAUUUAGGUAGCGCCUCGUGAAUUCAUCUCCGGGGGUAGAGCACUGUUUCGGCAAGGGGGUCAUCCCGACUUACCAACCCGAUGCAAACUGCGAAUACCGGAGAAUGUUAUCACGGGAGACACACGGCGGGUGCUAACGUCCGUCGUGAAGAGGGAAACAACCCAGACCGCCAGCUAAGGUCCCAAAGUCAUGGUUAAGUGGGAAACGAUGUGGGAAGGCCCAGACAGCCAGGAUGUUGGCUUAGAAGCAGCCAUCAUUUAAAGAAAGCGUAAUAGCUCACUGGUCGAGUCGGCCUGCGCGGAAGAUGUAACGGGGCUAAACCAUGCACCGAAGCUGCGGCAGCGACACUAUGUGUUGUUGGGUAGGGGAGCGUUCUGUAAGCCUGUGAAGGUGUACUGUGAGGUAUGCUGGAGGUAUCAGAAGUGCGAAUGCUGACAUAAGUAACGAUAAAGCGGGUGAAAAGCCCGCUCGCCGGAAGACCAAGGGUUCCUGUCCAACGUUAAUCGGGGCAGGGUGAGUCGACCCCUAAGGCGAGGCCGAAAGGCGUAGUCGAUGGGAAACAGGUUAAUAUUCCUGUACUUGGUGUUACUGCGAAGGGGGGACGGAGAAGGCUAUGUUGGCCGGGCGACGGUUGUCCCGGUUUAAGCGUGUAGGCUGGUUUUCCAGGCAAAUCCGGAAAAUCAAGGCUGAGGCGUGAUGACGAGGCACUACGGUGCUGAAGCAACAAAUGCCCUGCUUCCAGGAAAAGCCUCUAAGCAUCAGGUAACAUCAAAUCGUACCCCAAACCGACACAGGUGGUCAGGUAGAGAAUACCAAGGCGCUUGAGAGAACUCGGGUGAAGGAACUAGGCAAAAUGGUGCCGUAACUUCGGGAGAAGGCACGCUGAUAUGUAGGUGAAGUCCCUCGCGGAUGGAGCUGAAAUCAGUCGAAGAUACCAGCUGGCUGCAACUGUUUAUUAAAAACACAGCACUGUGCAAACACGAAAGUGGACGUAUACGGUGUGACGCCUGCCCGGUGCCGGAAGGUUAAUUGAUGGGGUUAGCGCAAGCGAAGCUCUUGAUCGAAGCCCCGGUAAACGGCGGCCGUAACUAUAACGGUCCUAAGGUAGCGAAAUUCCUUGUCGGGUAAGUUCCGACCUGCACGAAUGGCGUAAUGAUGGCCAGGCUGUCUCCACCCGAGACUCAGUGAAAUUGAACUCGCUGUGAAGAUGCAGUGUACCCGCGGCAAGACGGAAAGACCCCGUGAACCUUUACUAUAGCUUGACACUGAACAUUGAGCCUUGAUGUGUAGGAUAGGUGGGAGGCUUUGAAGUGUGGACGCCAGUCUGCAUGGAGCCGACCUUGAAAUACCACCCUUUAAUGUUUGAUGUUCUAACGUUGACCCGUGAUCCGGGUUGCGGACAGUGUCUGGUGGGUAGUUUGACUGGGGCGGUCUCCUCCUAAAGAGUAACGGAGGAGCACGAAGGUUGGCUAAUCCUGGUCGGACAUCAGGAGGUUAGUGCAAUGGCAUAAGCCAGCUUGACUGCGAGCGUGACGGCGCGAGCAGGUGCGAAAGCAGGUCAUAGUGAUCCGGUGGUUCUGAAUGGAAGGGCCAUCGCUCAACGGAUAAAAGGUACUCCGGGGAUAACAGGCUGAUACCGCCCAAGAGUUCAUAUCGACGGCGGUGUUUGGCACCUCGAUGUCGGCUCAUCACAUCCUGGGGCUGAAGUAGGUCCCAAGGGUAUGGCUGUUCGCCAUUUAAAGUGGUACGCGAGCUGGGUUUAGAACGUCGUGAGACAGUUCGGUCCCUAUCUGCCGUGGGCGCUGGAGAACUGAGGGGGGCUGCUCCUAGUACGAGAGGACCGGAGUGGACGCAUCACUGGUGUUCGGGUUGUCAUGCCAAUGGCACUGCCCGGUAGCUAAAUGCGGAAGAGAUAAGUGCUGAAAGCAUCUAAGCACGAAACUUGCCCCGAGAUGAGUUCUCCCUGACUCCUUGAGAGUCCUGAAGGAACGUUGAAGA
This 2195-nucleotide ribosomal RNA is filed under the name Escherichia coli. RNAcentral describes it as "partial 23S ribosomal RNA". It matches the Rfam family "Bacterial large subunit ribosomal RNA", at positions 671 to 2844 of the family's 2925-position model. The record is from RNAcentral. Lineage: Bacteria; Pseudomonadati; Pseudomonadota; Gammaproteobacteria; Enterobacterales; Enterobacteriaceae.